Molecule: ribosomal RNA, 1671 nt
Filed under: human gut metagenome
Description: bacterial LSU rRNA
Rfam family: Bacterial large subunit ribosomal RNA
Source: RNAcentral
GUGAGUCGGGUCCUAAGGCGAGGCCGACAGGCGUAGUCGAAUGGAUGAACGGGUGGAUAUUCCCGUACCGGCGGCGUACCGUAAGAGCCGAACGGAUGAGUACUAACCUCCGGUCGCGUGGCGUCGUUCCCUUCGGGGUUCGGGGCGCGUGGCUGUUGGGAGCGUAGUCCCGGUAGGCUAGCGCACAGGGGUGACACGGAAUGGGAGCCGGCCGCGGAGGUGGUUUUCCGUGGUCAAGCACGCAGCCCGUCCCAUAGGCAAAUCCGUGGGACGCAUAGGGUGAGGUGUGAUGAUGGGCGUCCUUUGGACGCGAUAUCCGGUGGUCCAGGCCGUCGAGAAAAGCCUCGGCGCGAGGGGCGUCGCCGCCCGUACCCCAAACCGACACUGGUGGUCAGGUAGAGAAUACCAAGGCGAUCGAGCGAAUCCUGGUCAAGGAACUCGGCAAAUCACUCCCGUGCCUUCGGUAUAAGGGAGACCCCCGGGCGUGAAGAGGCUUGCCCUCGGAGCGUUGGGGGGUGGCACAGACCAGGGGGUAGCGACUGUUUACCAAAAACACAGGUGCAUGCGAAGGCGCAAGCCGCUGUAUAUGCACUGACGCCUGCCCGGUGCCGGAAGGUUAAGAGGAUCCGUCAGCCUUCGGGUGAAGCGGUGAAUUCAAGCCCCGGUAAACGGCGGUGGUAACUAUAACCAUCCUAAGGUAGCGAAAUUCCUUGUCGGGUAAGUUCCGACCUGCACGAAUGGCGUAACGACUUCCCCACUGUCUCGACCAGGAGCUCGGCGAAAUUGCAGUACGAGUAAAGAUGCUCGUUAAGCGCAGAAGGACGAAAAGACCCCGGGACCUUUACUAUACCUUGGUAUUGGCAUUCGGUGUGGAUUGUGUAGCAUAGGCGGGAGGCCGAGAGGCGCGGUCGCCAGAUCGCGCGGAGCCGUAAGGUGAAAUACCGCUCUGUUCGCAUUGGAUGUCUAACCUCGAACAGUCAUCCUGUUCAGGGACAGUGCCUGGCGGGUAGUUUAACUGGGGCGGUUGCCUCCCAAAGAGUAACGGAGGCGCCCAAAGGUCCGCUCAGCCCGGUUGGCAAUCGGGUGGCGAGUGCAAGUGCACAAGCGGGCUUGACUGCGAGGACGACGGUCCGAGCAGGGACGAAAGUCGGGACUAGUGAUCCGGUGCCGGUGUACGGACGCGGCAUCGCUCAACGGAUAAAAGGUACCCCGGGGAUAACAGGCUGAUCAUUCCCAAGAGUCCAUAUCGACGGGAUGGUUUGGCACCUCGAUGUCGGCUCGUCGCAUCCUGGGGCUGGAGCAGGUCCCAAGGGUUCGGCUGUUCGCCGAUUAAAGCGGCACGCGAGCUGGGUUCAGAACGUCGUGAGACAGUUUGGUCUCUAUCCUCUGCGCUCGUUGGAAUCCUGAGGAGGCCUGCCCAUAGUACGAGAGGACCUGGGUGGACGGACCUCUGGUAUGCCGGUUGUCGCGCCAGCGGCAUGGCCGGUUGGCUACGUUCGGGAGGGAUAACCGCUGAAAGCAUCUAAGCGGGAAGCCUGCUCCAAGAUUAGGAUUCCUUGACGCUCCCCGGAGCGCCUGUAGCCCGCAUGUUGAACACGUGUUCGAUAGGCCGGAGGUGGAAGCCCCGCGAGGGGUGGAGCCGACCGGUACUAACGGGCGAACGCGGCACAC